GGGAGGGUAGCGAAGAGGCUAAACGCGGCAGACUGUAAAUCUGUUCCUUCGGGUUCGGCAGUUCGAAUCUGCCCCCUCCCACCA
This 84-nucleotide transfer RNA is filed under the name Bacilli bacterium. Its description in RNAcentral is "tRNA-Tyr". It matches the Rfam family "tRNA". Rfam says of the family: Transfer RNA (tRNA) molecules are approximately 80 nucleotides in length. Their secondary structure includes four short double-helical elements and three loops (D, anti-codon, and T loops). RNAcentral also lists the same sequence under 2 other names. Lineage: Bacteria; Bacillati; Bacillota; Bacilli. The record is from RNAcentral.